CCACAAAUAACUUAACCUAUAAGGUCAUCUUUAAUUUUUAAAAAAUUAAUUAUUCAUAAUGAACAACUAUUUUUAUUUUUCUCUAUUUAAUCAAAAUUAAUCUAGAAGUGUUUGUGUACUUUGACACUCAUAUAAAAUAGGGGGUUUAUAAAGCAAAAAAAUUGCUAGUUGUUUGCAUCAACACUUAAUUAAUCUAAUUGGACAUUAUUAAAGGUUUUAUUCUAAAAAGAUAUAACUAAGUACAAACUUUUUUGCCACUAGGCCCAACCCAUCAUGCGAGGAACUUAUAAUUACCUAGAACACAUUAGUAUCCGGUUUGAGCAUAGUAAAACCCUAAUCUAAGUAGCAGCCCGCCUCUCCACAUCCCCCCCCUAAUCUAAGUAGCAGCCCGCCUCUCCACAUCCCUUCCCAUCAUCUUGGUUCCAUCUCACCCUAUUCUAGGUAUCACUGAGUCCUCUCCAGAUCUCUUUGUUGAGCCCUCUCUGGUGCUGAGCCCUCUUUGGAUCUCUUCUGAUCUCAUGGAUUACUCCAGAUCUCUUUGGUAAGCCCUCUGUGGAUGUGGAUCUCUUCUGAUCUCAUGGGUGGCACGCUUGGUAAACAUGUCUGUUAGUGGUUUUUCAUUUCGGUAGCUAGAUUUGACCUUUGGUGCAUCUUUUGCUUAAUGAUUGUAUAUUUAGGCUAUACAUAUAUGAUGAAUUUUUGUGAUCUCUAUUCCUCAUAUAUUUCAUAUAAGACCUUCAAUUUAUUGAAUUUUGAUUUUAAUGUAUUGUAUUCAUAAAUUGAUGAAUUUAUUAUGAAAUAUUUGUUUGAUUCUCAUUUAAAUGAAAAAAAUCAGUAAAAGAAUAUGAAUAAUGAUUCUUUGCAUCAUUAUACACUAUCCAAAACUGCAAUAGUUGUGAAAACUUUUUAUUUUUAUGUCCACUAUGCAAGCAAAAUAGAUCACAUAAGUGAAUAAGUAGUCUAUGAAUGUGUUAUAUAUAUAGUGUAUUUAAUAAUUUUUCACUUAUUUUUAUUGUGUUGAAUCUUUGUGCUAUUACAUUUGAAUAUUGCACCUUCAACAUUUUAAUAUACACGUGGCUAAUUAUUUUUUUGCAGCAACUCUCCUCAUAUAGGUGAUGAUAAACAAUGAAGAAAAUGCUCCAGUAUUCUCUAAAUUAAUUAUAUUCUCCAGGUAGUAUAACAUAAACUUUUAGUUAUAACAUUACAACAGUAAUAUAUUUUUCGUACCUUAAUUAAUAGUAUUCAUACUUUGUUGUGUAGAUUUAUUAAGAUAUUAUAGUUAGGUACACCGUAUAUGUGGCUCGGAGAAGUUAACUAAACAGUAAAUAUAUAGGAUUAAGAUAACACAACUACUCAACUUUGAAGAUAUAAAAGUUUAGUAAGGUUAUAAUUAAAUCUGAAUGAAACUAUCUAAUUAAGCAAUGACAGGACUUGGAGAUGAUUAGAAAAUAUUUUACAUAGGUAAUUCAAAAGGUAAUCUAAGUUCGAACAUAAAUUAAAAUCUGAGCACUUGCAACAAAGCUAGACAGCUUAAACAGGUAUUGUUGUCUUGUUUAUGAAGGUGUUACGGAAUGAGACUAUCCUGAUAGAUCAGGAUUUGAAGCCUGAAUCCUGAAAAAUUUUAUCAAAAGAAAAUGCUCCUAGUUGCAUUUUAAGAUUCGAGCUCACUUACGGAGAAUCUUCUCUUAAACAUUCACUUCUUUCCUGAACUAGGUUUUGAGGUUUAAACCAUGCAGUUAAGACAUAAUAUAAGAGGUGCGAAUGAAGUUUCUUCAUGCCACCUGUUCAGUGAUCUUCUUUAGUGGAAAAAUAUUGUUCUUAGUAUGUCAUAUAAUUAAAAAGGAAUUUUUACGGCAGUGACUUACUUUUUAUUAGAAAUUGUUCUUUAGUUUUGUCUUCUAGGUACAUUUAAGUUUUAACCCCAGGUUGAACUUGGUAGUAACGUGUUAUAAUGUACUACCCUUUGGUAGAAGAUGAUGUCUUUAUUUCUUAUCGUAUAGAUAGUUUUGCUUUCUGUUUAACUCUGGACCGUAUGUAGAAUUUACUUUUGGGGUCAUGUCUAGUUUAUGUGUACUCGUAGGAUACAUUUUUUGGGUAGAUUGCAAAACCCUGAAGGACGAACAAUUUAUAAGCAUCACUGUUAUAGUAGCAACUGAAGGAUACAAUUAAUAUUGUUAGAAGGAAAAUGGGAAGACCAAAUUAAGAAGUACAAGAAACAGAUUGGUUCGGUGAAAGAUAUUUUACCAGCACACACACAUAUAGAAUUAAAGAUAUUUUAGACGAAAUAUUUUUCUGUACGUAGGUAAGAGAAGCACAAGAGGUAAUGUGGAUAUGAAAGUGAAAUCCAGUGCAGAGAACAACUUUGUAACAACUGUUGCUGAAAUACCCAAAAAAGGUGAUUUUCAGCCUACUAUACCUAGCAAGGAACCUGGGAGACAUGUGUAUAAGAGAAGUAAAGUUCAUCAGCAGAAUGGUGUGCAAGUCAAAACUCAUGACAGUGAAUGACACUAUCAAGGUAUGUGCUGGAACUUAUUUCAUAUUAGAUAUGUCAAGUAAUUAUUUAGCUGAAGACCAUUCUUUGCAUGUGAUUUUUUAUGCGCUUUUUAAUUGCUGGAAGAUGUUGAGGAAAAAUAUAUCUGUAACUACUAUAAUAGUCUAUUUGCUCCAGUUUAUUUUGUGGCAGUUAGAUUAACCAUUAUCAAUAAUUCAUUUCAUGAUUUUCAGCUUUUCUAUUUGUAUUUUACGGCUAUGAAAAUUCUACUACUGCUAUUGUAUUGGUAACAGAAAGUUUUGUUAUUUUUUGAAGUAGUUCUGUCUGUAAACAGACAAGAUGAUUCCGAAACUCCUCCAUUUAAUCAAGAGAAUGCAAUGGAGUCCGCUCCACUUCAGAAAAAGGAUGGUCCGGGUAAGCUCAUUGACUGAACUAUAAUUGUGAUAUUAUGAUCUGGAAUCUUGUUAUGUUAUCCAUGAAAUUUACCUGUUAAAAAUCUCAAUCAACAUGCUGCAUCAAUUGAUAUAGGUGGUGGAGUUGGAACCCCUGCCAUUGUAGGCAUUGAUGCUAUGGAGAACGAACAGAGUUUGCCAUUUGUUAAGAAUCCUCUACUUUGUGAAGAUAUCCAUUCUAUGGAAACCUAUAAGAAAAUGACACAGAAGCCACACUUCGCUCCACUGUACGAACAUAUAGAAGAAGAACGUGAAGGCUUGGCAGUAGUGUUGGAAACGUGAUGGGUUUAGGCUUUAUCAACUUUGUAAAUUCAAAAUACACACGCCUGUAUAAUAAAACAAACAACACAAAUUUUAUUUCAUAAACUUAAAGCUACAGCUUGAUUAGGGCUUCGGCUCUUUGUUUUUUUUUUUUUUUUUUCUGGUUUUCAAACUCAGUACUAUAUAUUGAACACAAGCAGAACCUCUAUUUAUAGGCCACACAUACAUGCUAACUGAUCUCAUUCCUUACAUCAUUACCCAGCUGUAUAAAUUAAUGUAGCCACCUUAAUUCACGGGGACAGCAACUCUUCUUCAUUCCAUCUACGCGGUUUUAUUAAUACAAAUCAGACUUGCAUGUUGACAACCCACAAAUUAAACAAGCUGCUGCAUCACCAUCUUAUCACAUGCUUCUAACCUUUCCAGAUUAUUGCUUUCCCCGUAUAUUCUUUUACACACACGUCUUUGACUUUCUCCUUGCAUGCAUGCAGAUAAUGUAGCAUUUAUACGGCCCACCAUAUUUUCAGGAUGUUGUAGCUGUUUCAUUUACUGUCUUGAGAGAGUUUAAUUUCUAACACUCCCCUUCAAACUCGACUUUCUAUCCCGAGCUUCUUUUUCAUUUUAUGAAAUACAUUCGGCUUCAAUGGCUUCGUAAAAAUAUUUGCUAAAUUUUCUUCCGUCAUGUAGUGCACUAACUCCACAAUUUUUUCGUUUACUUGUUCACGAAGAAAAUGAUAUUUAAUAUUGAUGUGCUUGCUUCGACUGUGUGACACCAAAUUUUUCCCUAGUGAAAUAGCAGAAUUAUUAUCCACGUAAAUUGUAACAGGUUCUUUCUUGACAAGAUUUAACUCGCCCAAAAUAUAGCCUAGCCACAUAGCUCUACACGCGCAUGCUGCUGCUGCUGUGAUGUAUUCCGCCUCACAUGUGGAGAGAGCGACUGUCUGUUGCUUCUUUGAUGACCAUGAGAAUAUUGUCGAGCCAAUAUGAAAAGCAUAUCCUGAUGUGCUUUUUUAGUCAUCCAAGUCUCCACCAUAAUCACAGUUUGAGUAGCCAACUAAUUUUGAAUCUUGAGAAUGCGUGUAAAACAAACCAUUAUUAAGUGUACCUUUAAUAUAUAUCAAAAUUCUUUUAGCCGCCAUGAAAUGAUCUUGCUUCGGGAUCUCCAUGUACCUACUAACCAGUCCAAUCGCAUACAUGAUAUCUGGAAGAGUAAAAGUUAGGUACCUCAAACUUUCAACCAAACUUUUGAACAAUGUCGGAUGUACCGACUCCCUGGUUGAAUCAAUUCUGAGCUUUAUGCUUGCUUCCGCUGGCGUGCUCAAUGGCUUGCAUUCUUCCAUUUUGAAUUUCUUUAAAAUCUGCUCCGCAUAUUUUUUCUGAGACAUAAAAAUUCCAUCUUUGCUUUGCUUCACCUCGACUCCAAGAAAGUAUGACAUUUGUCCAAUAUCUGUCAUCUCAAAUUCGCUAGUCAUAACUUUCUUAAAAUCAUCAAACAUACCAGGGUCGUUGUUUCCGGUAAAUAUCAUGUCGUCCACAUAUAAGCAAACUAUCAUAAUAUCUCCCCUUGAAAUAGUUUUCGUGUAGAGAGCAUGCUCGUAUGGACUCUUCACAAAACCAUUCUUCUGAAAAUACUCAUCAACCCUUGUGUUCCAUGCUCUCGGUGCCUGUUUUAGGCCGUACAAUGCCUUCUUUAGCCAGUAGACUUUAUCUUCCUCGCCUUUCUGAACAUACCCUAAAGGUUGCUCGAUGUAAAUUUCUUCUUCGAGAUAACCAUUUAAAAAUGUUGACUUCACAUCCAUUUGAAAAAUCUUCCAUUCAUUUUGAGCGGCAAUUGAUGUAAGAAGUCUAAUGGUGUCAACUCGUGCAACUGGAGCAAACACCUCAUCAUAGUCAAUGCCAUAUUGCUGCUUGUAGCCUUUAGCCACUAGCCUCGCCUUGUAUUUUUCUACUUCUCCAUCCUGAUUCGUCUUGGUCUUGUAGACCCAUUUGACACCAAUUGCUCUGUGUCCGUCUAGAAGAUCUGUGAGCUCCCAAGUAUCAUUCUUCUUGAUUGCACCAAUUUCUUCGUCCAUGGCUUUGUUCCAUAUGCUUUCUUCAGAAGCUUCCUCAAAUGUAACUGGAUCACAUUCAGCCAUUAGACAAAAUAAGGAAUAAUCAAAGGUUGUUCGUACCGGACUCAUUGCUUCAUAGAUAUUAUCCAGACUCCGCAUUUUUCUUGGUGUUCCCCCUUAACUUCUGCUUCCACUUGAAUCCGAUGGUGUUGAUGCGGGAGUUUGUUGACUCGGACUUUGUGGAGGAGUUUGAUCAUCAUCAUCGUCACCUUCUAUGUUGGGGUUGUCAUUGCCAUCAUCAUCAUCAUUGAAAAAUAACCCAGCAACUUUUCUUUCCUCCUCGCUCCAUUUCUAAUAAUUUGAUUCAUCGAACUCAACAUCUCGAGAAAUUAUUAAUUUCUUCGUGAGGGGAUUAUAGAGCCUGUACGCCUUGCUCCUUUUCUCAUAUCCGGUAAAUAUGCACUUCUCGCCUUUAUCAUCCAACUUCUUUCUUUUCUGUUCAGGAACAUGGGCAUAUGCAAUACACCCAAAAAUUCUGAGAUGUCCCACAGAUGGUUUGCUUCCACUCCAUGCUUCAUUUGGAGUUUUGUUUCUGACACUUUUUGUUGGACAGCGAUUCAACAAAUAAACUACACAUAAAACAGCUUCAGCCCAAAAGGUUCUCGGCAAGUGCUUUGCUUUCACCAUGCUCCUUGCCAUGUCAAGAAUAGUGCGAUUCUUUCUUUCUGCAACACCAUUUUGUUGAGGAAUAUAGGCUAUUGUCAACUGAUGAUUGAUUCCAUGUGCUCUGCAAAUACUUCUGAACAGAUUAGAAGUAUACUCGCCUCCUCUGUCUGAUCUGAGUACCUUCAAAUAAUGACCACUUUGCUUUUCUGCCAGUGCUUUGAACUCCUUGAAUUUAUGAAGAGCCUCCGACUUUUCUUUGAUGAUAUACACCCAACUUUUCCUGCUAAAAUCAUCAAUAAAUGUUAGGUAAUACCUAUUACCUCCAAGUGAUGAGAUAUCAAAUGGACCAGCAAUAUCUGUGUGAACUAUCUCCAAUGGCCUCCUGGCUCUCCAUGAUUUUCCAACGGGAAAACUUUGCCGAUGUUGCUUCCCUUUUACACACGCUUCACACAAAUUUUCUGGUUUGUUGAUUUCUGGCAAACAGUCCACCAUUUUUGUCUUUGACAAUAAUUUCAAGCCAAAAAAUCCAAGAUGGCCAUAUCUCAAAUGCCACAACCACGAGUCAUUUUUAAUGACUGACUUUUCCAAUCACCAUUCUCCUACCAUCUUUCUUCUUAAAUUCAAUUCCAAUCGAAACCCCCUUGAUUCUCUCCCUAUGCGGUGUCGCUGCUUGAGCGGACUCCACCACCAACCGUCGCUGCACUAAUCCCCACACACGCACAACCCACUGUAAAUUACUCUAAUAUCGGCUCAGAUAUGCAAAAUUCGCCAGUGGUGAUUUUUUAUUACACAACAGGUGAUUUUCUAUUGUUUUUUGUUGAUUCGUAUUGAUUUUUGUUGAGUUUGACUUCUUCCUGGUGAUUAUGUGGCGGUGGUUGUGUGAAUAUGGUGGUGGCGGGGGAGGCGGGUGCGACGAUUAAUGGUGGUUGUGGGGGAUUUUGUUUGGUUGUGGUGAUUUCUACUGAGAUCUGGUGAUUUCUGCAUGGAGAUGGUGAUUUUUAAGUGGUGGUUGGUGACGUUGGGAAGUGUGGUGACCAAAGGAGGAGGUGGUGCUGUGGUUUUCUUCUGGUGAUUUUCUGCUCAUAGUGGUGAUUUUUGACUUCUGGUGGCCGGAGGUGGAGGUUGCCGAUUGAUGGAGGUGAUGGUCGGAAUAAGAAGAUGAUGAUGGUAGGUGAUGAUGAUGUGGGUAACAAUAAUGAGAGGUGAUGGAUGUAGAUGGUAUUUUUGAAUGAGUGGUUAUUAGGAUUAGAUCUCAUAUCUCAUGUUACUAUUGGUUUUCAUUGGAGCAAGUCUCUCUCUCUUUCUAUAUAUAUAUAUAUAUAUAUAUAACAAAGUUGCGCUUUGAACAUAUAUAUAUAUGUAUAUAGAAAGUCAAACCAUGCGACAGUCAAUUCUUGCGCCUCACAAUGUCUUCAUAGCAGCCACUGUAGUUAUAGUACUUGGAGAAAAUCCAAGUAACCAAGGUUGCGCCUGGGAGAGUAUAUGUGUGGCGCCAACUUUGACUUCGAGUCAAAAGUUGCGCCUCACAGGGCAUCAGUAUGUUACUUAGAGUAUGAUGCAUAAAUUUUAAUUUUAAUCUAGAAUACUAAUCAUAAUAACAGACACAAAUAAUUUAACACAUACAAUCUAAGUAAAAUAAUUGAUUUUAAAUUUGGUUAUACUGUAUAGGCACUUUGGAUGAAUAACUAGUUUCAAUAUUAUGAUUAAAUUUCAACAUUUUUUUGGAGGAAAAAUUAUGAAACUUCAGUUAUUUUUUCAUAUACUAACUAUAUAUUUGAUGAAUAAUGAGAUUGAUACAUGAAUUUUAUGUGUAUAUAUAAGUGUUCUUCAUUAGACUCUAUAUAUUGUGAUUCUCUGUACAUUGACUGUCUCUCUCUAUAUAUAGUGUGUGUGUGUGUGUAUAUAUAUAUAUAUAGGCUCUUGCUCAAAUGAGAACCACAUAUUUUAAAUUUCUAUUUUAUCUUUCAUCUCUUUCAUCCACCUCUCUACCCACCCCCAACCACCAUCCACCACACCCACACCCAACCACCACCACCACCCACCACCCACCACCAUCACCACCACGACGCACCAACACCACACACCAGCUCCAAUCCGAACAUUAGAUCUACUCAUAUCUCUCUCUAGCGCUGCAGUAGCGCGGCCUUCCGCCGACCUCUGCCAUGGCGGUCGCCGCCGACAUCUCUGUCACAUCACGCUGCAGCCGACGUCUCCGCACGUCGCCAAUCGCGGCUCGGCUUCCUUCGCCGUCGUCUCAAGCCGCAAGAAGAGAAUACGGAGGAGGAUAGAUCUGAGGUUUGGAAGGAGAUCGUGAACCAACCACUAGUGACUAGUGGUGUGUUCGCCGGAGAUGCUGCUCUUGGUGGUGUGAUGAGUGGCGGUGUGAUUGUGUAUCCGGUUGCUUAUGUGGUGAUUUUUCUUUUUACGGUGGUGAUUUUAUUUUGUAUUUGGUGAUUUUUCAGAUUUGUGGGUAGCGGUGGUGGUUUUUAGAUGGUGGCAGUGUGGUGAUUUUAAUUUUCUGGUGUUGAUUUUUGGUUUUCUGACGGUGAUUUUUAGUAUUCCGGUGGUGAUUUUAUAUUUUACGGUGAUGAUUUUAUUUUUGUCGGUGGUGAUUUUCUGGUGGUCGCCGGAGGUGGUGGUGGUGGUCAACGGUGGUUGAAGGUGAUAGGUAGUUGAAUUAGAAGAUGAUAAAAUAUUAAAAUAUUAAAUGAAUGGUGAGAGAUGAAUAUAAUGUAUUUAAAUGAGUGGCUGAGAUUAGAUCUCAUAUCUCACCAUAAGAAGAGUUCUCAUUUGAGCAAGACCCUAUAUAUAUAUAUAUCUUUCUCCUUGAAACCCANUACAAACCUAAAAACCACUAUAAUUCCACUCCAAUUUUUGCUAUGAGCACUUCAUUUUAUUUUAUUUUUUUUAUUUUCUGGGGGAACACACGUUGACGUGGCAGGUGCCACGUCAGCACUUGCUGACGUGGCAGAUGACGUGGCAGGCGGGGGGUGGCCCUCGCUGCUGACAUGGCAGGGUGAGGUGGACUCCAGUGCUGACGUGGCAGGGGUAGAAAGUGUAAGUUUUGGAACGUUGAUGGCAAAACUAGGGGGGAUAUUGUUAGUUUUUAAAAGUUUGAGGAGAUAUUUGUUAAUUUUGAAACCAGUUUUUAGGUUUUUAUGCUAAGUGUGGUUUGUAUUUGAUCAUCUCCAUAUAUCGUUUGUGACAACUGUGACAACAAUUGUUCAACACUUCUUAUAAAGUGCAGAAUAAUUCUUUUGGAAAAUUUUCACUUCUUGAAUGGUUUAUUAUUCUACAACAGAACAAUAGAUUUUCACUGUUGUUACGCUAAAAACUAUUCUCCAUUGAGCACCACAAUAUAUAUAUAUAUAUAUAUAGACACACACACACGGAUUAUCUAGUGUGUGCCCAUGGGCACACACUAACAACCACUUUUUAAGUAGGUAGACACACACACACGGAUUAUCUAGUGUGUGCCCAUGGGCACACACUAACAACCACUUUUUAAGUAGGUGGAGCAUUUCUAUUGGCUAAAACUCAUUAAUAAUCAUGGCCCCCUGCAUAUGCACAAAAAUCAUGACCAGUAAAAAUCCUCCACCUCAACAAAAAGUAGUUGUUAGUGUGUACCCAUGGGCACACACUGGAAAGACCUAUAUAUAAAACACACACACACACACACAUAGGGUCCUACUCCAAAAGAAACUACCAAAAUAUAAACUAAAUAGAAACCAAUACGAUUAACUAGAAUGAUGCGGGUUUUCGGAAUGAGGAUGGACCCCGAGAUGGGCCUAAACAGGGUCUAAGUGGAGCCUAAUAGGGCUAGGUCGGGGCCUAGUGGGACCGUGGUGGAGACAAGAUUUGGCUCUUUAAGACUGCCCGGAGCUUGUCCAGGGCAUGUGAGGAUCCUUGGCGAGGCCCCAACGGGCCCGCGGUGGAUUGAGUUAGAGUGAGGGUGGGCCUAGGUGGGUGAUGACAUAUAGGGGUGGGUGUUGACAUAUAGGGUUGGGUGAGGUCAUUUAGGUAUAGUUUCUCUUGGUUUCCAUUUUAGUUUUUAUUUUAGUGGGUUCUAUUUGAGCAAUUGCCUAUAUACAUAGAUACAUACAUACGUGUGUGUAUAUAUAUAUUUAUAUAUAUAUAUAUAUAAGCUCAUGAUAAAAUACAAACCAAUCUUAAAAUAAAAACUAAAAACCAUUAUUAAAACUCCUUAAAUUACUAAAGGCACUCAUCUACACUAAUUACAACCCAGCAUAGCAAACCCCCACCCAAAUCUGCUAAGAUCUUUCCCCUCAUUCCAUGUCGCCACUACUUUACCCAUAUGUCUCUCACCAACCCCAUUUUUUCUCUCUCUUCUUUCAACUCCGCACAUCCGCCAUCACUAUCCACUGCCUCACUACUGCUCCUGACUUCACCAUCACCAUUAUUACCUCUGCCCAACCUCUCCCCACCAUCACCAUCUUCAUCCUUGCUUCGCCAUCACCAUCUUCAUCCUUUCCCUGCCAUCACCAUCUUCUUCCUUUUCCCAUCAUGACUAUCUCUCUCAUCUAUGUCCCCCUUCCUCGAUCUUUUUCGAACAAUCUUUCUCUCAAGAAUGAUUAGAGCUCAGUCAUGGAUUUUAACGUUGUUAAAAUUCUGAUAUAGCUGUUAAUAUAUUUAUAAAAAUCGAUGAUUUCUUCCGUACAAAUUAGUGAUAUUCGCUUUAGAAAAUAAUGAUAUACAUUGUUAAAAUUAGUGAUAUUUGGUUUGGAAAGUUGUGAUUUGUGUUACAAAAAUUAGUGAUUCCUUUUAAUAAGUUAGAGAUUUGUAUCUAGUGUUACUGAUGAUUAUUGGAGAUAGCUCGGAUAUGUUAAUAAUCUAAUUGUGAUGUGAGAUGAAUGGAAAGUGACGAUGUACAGGAUGUCAUGGCACCUUGAAGAUGAAGAAGAUGAACUAUAGUGCGUGUUUAUUUGUUUUGUGUGUAUAGGAUGUGUAUAUUAGGGUGUAAUUAGAAAAGGUGGGCGGCUGUUCAAAAAUUAGUGGGUCGGGUUGUAAUUUGUUUGGGUUGGGCUGCAGUUUGCAGUUUGUAGAAUAGAUGGUUUGUAGUGGAACAAGACUGACUAUAUAUAUAUAUAUAUAUAUAUAUAUAUAUAUAUAUAUAUAUAUAUAUAUAGAGAGGCCCAAGUACAAACCAAUAUUAAAGUGAAAAUUACAUAUAUAAUAAUCCCUAGAAGUCACCAUCAUGUCUUAAGAAAUCACACAUAAUCCCCCGUGUUUCAAAUUUGAUCCUUCCCUCAGUGAUUUUUUAUUUUUGAAAUAUGAUUUUAUUCUAUUUUUUUCUUCUCCCAACCUUUAAUGUGCAUACCAUAUGUGCUAUAUUUGGAUAUGAUUUAGAAUUUUUUUUUAUAUAACUUCUAGUUUUUUAUUUUAUGAAGGUUUAUAGUUAAGUAUUACAAACACACACACACACACACAUAUAUAUACUUUAAUUUAAUUAGUAAAAGACUUUUUUUAUGUAGUGAACAUUAUGUAUUAGUAAUUAUUGAGAAACUUGUUAUUAUAUUUUAUAAGAACUUAAUUUCUAAAAUGAAAGUUUUCAAAAAUUGAAUAAAUUAUAAUUUAAAUGAUAAACUUUCUACAAUAUAAUUUAUUUGUAUCUCAAAAAUAGUAACAUAAUAUUAGUAACCACAACUAACUUAACCUAUAAGGUUAUCUUUAAUUUUUAAAAAAUUAAUUAUUCAUAAUGAACAAAUAUUUUUAUUUUUCUCUAUUUAAUCAAAAUUAAUCUAGAAGUGUUUGUGUACUUUGACACUUAUAUAAAAUAGGUGGUUUAUAAAGCAAAAAAAUUGCUAGUUGUUUGCAUCAACACUUAAUUAAUCUAAUUGGACAUUAUUAAGGGUUUUAUUCUAAAAAGAUAUAACUAAGUACAAACGUUUUUGCCACUAGGCCCAGCCCAUCAUGUGAGGAACUUAUAAUUACCUUGAACACAUUAGUAUCCGAUUUGUGCAUAGUAAACCCCUAAUCUAAGUAGCAGCCCGCCUCUCCACAUCCCUUCCCAUCAUCUUGGUUCCAUCUCACCCUAAUCUAGGUAUCACUGAGUCCUCUCCAGAUCUCUUUGCUGAGCCCUCUCCUCUCCAGAUCUCUUUGCUGAGCCCUCUCUGGAUCUCUUCUGAUCUCAUGGGUUACUCCAGAUCUCUUUGGUGAGCCCUCUGUGGAUGUGGAUCUCUUCUGAUCUCAUGGGUGGCAGGCUUGGUAAACAUGUCUGUUAGUGGUUUUUCAUUUCAGUAGCUAGAUUUGAGCUUUGGUGUAUCUUUUGCUUAAUUAAUGAUUGUAUAUUUAGGCUAUACAUAUAUGAUGAAUUUGUUGUGAUCUCUAUUCCUCAUAUAUUUCAUAUAAGACCUUCAUUUAAUUGAUUUUUAAUUUUAAUGUAUUAUAUUCAUAAAUUGAUGAAUUUAUUAUGAAAUAUUUGUUUGAUUCUUAUUUAAAUGAAAAAAAUCAGUAAAAGAAUAUGAAUAAUGAUUCUUUGCAUCAUUAUACACUAUCCAAAACUGCAAUAGUAGUGAAAACUUUUUAUUUUUAUGUCCACUAUGCAAGCAAAAUAGAUCACAUAAGUGAAUAAGGAGUCUAUGAAUGUGUUAUAUAUAUAGUGUAUUUAAUAAUUUUUCACUUAUUUUUAUUGUGUUGAAUCUUUGUGCUAUUACAUUUGAAUAUUGCACCUUCAACAUUUUAAUAUACACGUGGCUAAUUAUUUUUUUGCAGCAACUCUCCACAUAUAGGUGAUGAUAAACAAUGAAGAAAAUGCUCCAGUAUUCUCUAAAUUAAUUAUAUUCUCCAGGUAGUAUAACAUAAACUUUUAGUUAUAACAUUACAAUAAUAAUAUAUUUCUUUGUACCUUAAUUAAUAGUAUUCAUACUUUGUUGUGUAGAUUUAUUAAGAUAUUAUAGUUAGGUACACCGUAUAUGUGGCUUGGAGAAGUUAACUAAACAGUAAAUUCAUAGGAUUAAGAUAACACAACUACUCAACUUUGAAGAUAUAAAAAUUUAAUAAGGUUAUAAUUAAAUCUGAAUGAAACUUUCUAAUUAAGCAAUGACAGGACUUGGAGAUGAUUAGAAAAUAUUUUACAUAGGUAAUUCAAAAGGUAAUCUAAGUUCAACAGAAAUUAAAAUCUGAGCACUUGCAACAAAGCUAGACAGCUUAAACAGGUAUUGUUGUCUUGUUUAUGAAGGUGUUACGGAAUGAGACUAUCCUGAUAGAUCAGGAUUUGAAGCCUGAAUCCUGAGAAAUUUUAUCAAAAGAAAAUGCUCCUAAUUGCAUUUUAAGAUUCGAGCUCACUUACGGAGAAUCUUCUCUUAAACAUUCACUUCUUUCCUGAACUAGGUUUUGAGGUUUUAACCAUGUUAAGAAUAUAAGAGGUGCGAAUGAAGUUUCUUCUUGCCACCUUUUCAGUGAUCUUCUUUAGCGGAAAAAUAUUGUUCUUAGUAUGUCAUAUAAUUAAAAAGGAAUUUUUACGGCAGUGACUUACUUUUUAUUAGAAAUUGUUCUUUAGUUUUGUCUUCUAGGUACAUUUAAGUUUUAACCCCAGGUUGAACUUGGUAGUAACGUGUUAUAAUGUACUACCCUUUGGUAGAAGAUGAUGUCUUUAUUUCUUAUCGUAUAGAUAGUUUUGCUUUCUGUUUAACUCUGGACCGUAUGUAGAAUUUACUUUUGGGGUCAUGUCUAGUUUAUGUGUACUCGUAGGAUACAUUUUUUGGGUAGAUUGCAAAACCCUGAAGGACGAACAAUUUAUAAGCAUCACUGUUAUAGUAGCAACUGAAGGAUACAAUUAAUAUUGUUAGAAGGAAAAUGGGAAGACCAAAUUAAGAAGUACAAGAAACAGAUUGGUUCGGUGAAAGAUAUUUUACCAGCACACACACAUAUAGAAUUAAAGAUAUUUUAGACGAAAUAUUUUUCUGUACGUAGGUAAGAGAAGCACAAGAGGUAAUGUGGAUAUGAAAGUGAAAUCCAGUGCAGAGAACAACUUUGUAACAACUGUUGCUGAAAUACCCAAAAAAGGUGAUUUUCAGCCUACUAUACCUAGCAAGGAACCUGGGAGACAUGUGUAUAAGAGAAGUAAAGUUCAUCAGCAGAAUGGUGUGCAAGUCAAAACUCAUGACAGUGAAUGACACUAUCAAGGUAUGUGCUGGAACUUAUUUCAUAUUAGAUAUGUCAAGUAAUUAUUUAGCUGAAGACCAUUCUUUGCAUGUGAUUUUUUAUGCGCUUUUUAAUUGCUGGAAGAUGUUGAGGAAAAAUAUAUCUGUAACUACUAUAAUAGUCUAUUUGCUCCAGUUUAUUUUGUGGCAGUUAGAUUAACCAUUAUCAAUAAUUCAUUUCAUGAUUUUCAGCUUUUCUAUUUGUAUUUUACGGCUAUGAAAAUUCUACUACUGCUAUUGUAUUGGUAACAGAAAGUUUUGUUAUUUUUUGAAGUAGUUCUGUCUGUAAACAGACAAGAUGAUUCCGAAACUCCUCCAUUUAAUCAAGAGAAUGCAAUGGAGUCCGCUCCACUUCAGAAAAAGGAUGGUCCGGGUAAGCUCAUUGACUGAACUAUAAUUGUGAUAUUAUGAUCUGGAAUCUUGUUAUGUUAUCCAUGAAAUUUACCUGUUAAAAAUCUCAAUCAACAUGCUGCAUCAAUUGAUAUAGGUGGUGGAGUUGGAACCCCUGCCAUUGUAGGCAUUGAUGCUAUGGAGAACGAACAGAGUUUGCCAUUUGUUAAGAAUCAUCUACUUUGUGAAGAUAUCCAUUCUAUGGAAACCUAUAAGAAAAUGACACAGAAGCCACACUUCGCCCCACUGUACGAACAUAUAGAAGAAGAACGUGAAGGCUUGGCAGUAGUGUUGGAAACGUGAUGGGUUUAGGCUUUAUCAACUUUGUAAAUUCAAAAUACACACGCCUGUAUAAUAAAACAAACAACAGAAAUUUUAUUUCAUAAACUCAAAGCUACAGCUUGAUUAUAAGAGCUUCGGCUCUUUUGUUUUCUUUUUCUGGUUUUCAAACUCA
RNAcentral lists this long non-coding RNA (14924 nucleotides) under Daucus carota (carrot). Its description in RNAcentral is "long non-coding RNA (DCAR_LNC003342)". The record is from RNAcentral. Lineage: Eukaryota; Viridiplantae; Streptophyta; Magnoliopsida; Apiales; Apiaceae.